AACAACAGGGUCAUCUCGAUCCGAUCGAAGUCAUCGAAGAUGCAGCCUAUUUAACGCUUCUAGCGUAAUCGUGACCACGUAUGUCUAGUAAUCGCGUGUAUGUGUAUAGGCGGGGCAUAAUAAUUCAUCAGGACGCUCUUUCUGCAUGGAAGUCGAAGGCCGCUGUGGCGCGCGGGUCUGUGGUCGCGGCCACCUCGAUAUGGGCUGCGAUACGAUAUCGAGAUGGUUAAAAGACACGCGUGUGCCACGUACGACCAGUUUCCGACGACAGUGGCGUAUUUCUUAUAUCGUUUAACCCUUUGGCCCAAGAAUAUACUAACGAAGAUAUAGUUGCAGGUGAUUUAAAAAAUAAAGACAGAUGAUGAAUUGUGAUUCGGACGCUCGAUUCUAACUCGUGCAAACCUUGUAUAACUAUCUAAAAUAUGAUCAAUAUAAUAUUAACAGCGAUGAAUACCAAAACUAUUCAUUAUAUUAAUAGAAUUAUAAUUAAUGGAGGAAGAUUGAACGAAAGCAUCGGCCUACGCCAUUGAAUACUUGCGUCCUUGCGGUUGGAAUUACGCACGAGCUCUCCCUGUCCUGGCUGGAACAGGUACGUAAGUAUCACGAUUUUUUUCCCUUAGAAUCUAGGCUUAUAAUGUGCCGUCUUAAAGCAAAUGACGGCUACCAGAGAAAAUAAUCGUCGACCACUUCAAACCGGCACGCAUUGACGUUCCGGUCAGCGAUAAUUAAUGUACUUUACAAAGUAGAGAGAAAGGGAGAGAGGGAGAGAGAACGAAAAGAGAUCUCGUAAAUGAAGAGACGACGUCGAUCGAGACUAAGUUAAAAAGCAGGAGCGAUUCGUAUUGACAUCACGCACCAACGACGAUUCUAUAUACGACUGUGUCGGUCUUUUCUCAUUGGAUAUGCACGUGACGUCAGGCAUGUGUCACACUGGUGUGCGGCUGAACAAGUGAAAACUGUCCAUCGCGGAGGACGUUUUUCUGCUCUAUUGUCACAGCGAACGGAACGAAGUUUCUCGACUUCCAUCAUGGUAGAAGAUACUAGUUAAUAAUAUUUUUUAAAUAUUAUUCUAAUAUCGUUUCUCUUUUACAUCCUUUUAAGUGGAAGAACUACGAACUACGUGGACCACGAAUCUUCCGAGAUGAUAGUUUUUAUCGAAGAUCUUUCUCUGUCUGUUUUACUAAAUUUUUAUGUGAAAAAUCGGAGAUGUCACGAUGAGAGUCGAAAGCACAACGGCAGACAAUACAAGUGAUAGAAGACUGUGAGUCUUAAAUUACAUGGAUCGUAAAUCGACAGCGAACGCGAUUGUUCGGCGAUUGCGUUUAAAUCACCGUUCGACAUGUCGUCGGUGAUUUAAAUGCGUGGCCGAAGAACGAAAAGCGACAGAUAAAUAGAGCGAUCGGAGAACAGGUGGACACUCGUGGGUGGUAUGUCUGUAAUGCGAUGAACACGUGACCCCGACAAGGACGUCGCCAUUUUGAGGAAAAAUAAGCGCGGCAAGUUUAUACGUGACAUCUCUCAUAUCUCUCAAUCAUCCAAUUUUCUUCUAAAAAAAAAAAAAAAUUAUCACUUUUAUUAUACAUUGUGUAAAAGUUAUAAAAGAAAAAUAAACGUAUUGCUUAAAACAAAA
This is a long non-coding RNA of Bombus terrestris (buff-tailed bumblebee), 1630 nucleotides long. RefSeq lists it as uncharacterized. The record is from RefSeq and is a predicted model, not a curated record. The transcript has 2 exons. Lineage: Eukaryota; Metazoa; Arthropoda; Insecta; Hymenoptera; Apidae.